CAGUAGCCGCGGGAAUACAGAGGGUGCGAGCGUUAAUCGGAUUUACUGGGCGUAAAGCGUGCGUAGGCGGCUUUUUAAGUCGGAUGUGAAAUCCCUGAGCUUAACUUAGGAAUUGCAUUCGAUACUGGGAAGCUAGAGUACGGGAGAGGAUGGUAGAAUUCCAGGUGUAGCGGUGAAAUGCGUAGAGAUCUGGAGGAAUACCGAUGGCGAAGGCAGCCAUCUGGCCUAAUACUGACGCUGAGGUACGAAAGCAUGGGGAGCAAACAGGAUUAGAUACCCGCGUAGUCCCUGUCUCUUAUAC
RNAcentral lists this ribosomal RNA (301 nucleotides) under uncultured bacterium. Its description in RNAcentral is "partial 16S ribosomal RNA". It matches the Rfam family "Bacterial small subunit ribosomal RNA", at positions 509 to 807 of the family's 1533-position model. The record is from RNAcentral.